CGGUGAGUUUGGGGGAAUAUCGGGGAGGCUGCUGAGCUGAGCCGUGGCAGCUCCUGGUUCACAAGUGCCUGUUGUUCCCAGAAUAGCGCAAGCCGCAAUCAAGGCAAUUGCAAGCUAACGCUGCUUUUGUUAACCAGGCUUGCGUUGAAUCGUGAGAUGUUUUUAUUUUAUUUCGGCCUUCAAAAUGUUUGCAAAUGCAGGUGUUUAUUUUCCAUUUCCCGUUGAUCUUCUGCGUCGCUGCUUUCUCUGCGCUGUCCCGCUGCACGUGCACGGUGCGCCCUCCCCGUGGAGGAGCAUCCCUUGGGCUCCUGCCCCCGCGCGGUGUUAAAUCCGGAGGCUUGGAAGUGCUCAGAAAACAGACUGAAUCAGUUAGUCACAAGACUUCCCAAAGCGAGGGAUUAUUUCCAUGAUUUCAGCGCAGCCUCUGGUUUGGACGUGACCUCUGGCUGAAGAGAACAGCUCUCCGGGGAUGCCUUGUUUUGGGACGGAGGCUGAGGAAUGCAGAAAUGGUGUGUGGAUAGCAGAGCCCGAACGGUGGCGGCGUAGAUGCUGAUGCUGCCCAGGCCACGAGAGCCUCGGUGAAGAGCUUUUGUUUUCCCUCACUUCAGUGCUCGUGAUCCCUAAAUGUCUUCUCAAGGACAAACGCAAGCAGAGGACGGCAGUCGUCUUCCUGUUAAAAACCAGCUGCUCCUGGAAACACGCAAGAAAAAGGAUUUUAAGGGUAAAAAUUAAAAUUGAAACAGGUUAUGCAAGAGCUGCUGAUAACGCCACGCUGUUUCAUCCCACUCAAGGCAUCCCCGCAGUGUCUCCCUUUAUCGGUUUUGCAUGAAGAGAGAAAUGUUUCUGAGCAAACGCAGAAUUAAAUGAUUGCUGUAGCCGGCUGCGAGUUCAAGAAACUGUCUGACCGUACUCGUAAGGAAGAGUUUUGCAAGGAACAUUUUCUUGGAUUGUUUCCUCGAAACUCUCUGAGUUGAAGGCUUUGUGCUGUUGAGCAAGUCUCGGUGAGAUCACGUUCGUUUUUUGGGCUGCAAAGCAAACGAGAGCCACACCGGCCACAACCUCCUGCCAGCGAUGGCAGAGGCAUCUCUAUUUGCACUUGGUCCGGCGGGGGCAGGCACCCUGAUUCCUGGUAAAUUAAAACCAAACAGAGGUGGAUUCCCUCUCGACGGCUUUAUCUCCGCGGAGAGGAGAUGUCAACGCGGCCAUUCGUGCUUGGCUUUUAUCUACAGCAGCGUGCUGUGCUGGUGGCUCAAAGCAGGGGGUGUGCAAACCAUCACUUGUGGUCAUUGAGGAGGAGAGCCACAAGCUGCGAGGCCACCGGGAUGCUGUACGCACCCACUGCCCAAAUUUGUUAAUGUUUGGGCUCUCCUGCCCUCUCGGGCAUGGUGUGUGAGUGGUUUGUGGUGCUCCGUGGAUCUCCAGAUGAAAAGCACCGGUGAUAUUUGCUGUUAAAGGCUGUCGGUAUUAAACUGCACAAAAUUUGCGUUUUGCAAGAGCCCGCCAGUGCCUUUUUGUUACAUUUCCAUGCCAUUUCUCUCCAGUAAGUAUUAAAGUGGAAAUUGCUGUGCUGGAAACCAAAUAAAUCGCUAUUUAAAGUAG
This is a long non-coding RNA of Anas platyrhynchos (mallard), 1599 nucleotides long. RefSeq lists it as uncharacterized. Lineage: Eukaryota; Metazoa; Chordata; Aves; Anseriformes; Anatidae. The record is from RefSeq and is a predicted model, not a curated record.